CGGCCCUCAUGGACUGAGAUUGCCCACCCCUGCUCUAGGAACAACAUGUUCCUGCCCUUGGCGCUACAUACCUGUGGAAAUCACCCACCUGUCUCUGAUGAUCUCAUCAGCAACCACUGCUUAAGGCGGUGGCUGGUUGACGUUCAUCGCUGGAUCGUUGAAUUACCUAACCUUCCCUGGAUUCCUUCCCUGAUGUGUGGUGAGCCUGCCUGAGUUGUGUGAAAGAAGAGCGAGUUGAAAAGUAACGGAUGAUUGGACGCCUUUCCCCUGGAUCUCUGGAGCCCCAUUUCCACUUUGUACAAUGUAUAUAGCACUACUGGCUCCUGUAAAUAAAAACACUGAAUUGUGAAUUUACGGAGUUCUGCCCUUGCGUCCAC
Molecule: long non-coding RNA, 377 nt
Organism: Oreochromis aureus
Lineage: Eukaryota; Metazoa; Chordata; Actinopteri; Cichliformes; Cichlidae
Exons: 3
Source: RefSeq, a predicted model, not a curated record